This 231-nucleotide ribosomal RNA is filed under the name uncultured bacterium. RNAcentral's name for it is "partial small subunit ribosomal RNA". It matches the Rfam family "Bacterial small subunit ribosomal RNA", at positions 26 to 285 of the family's 1533-position model. The record is from RNAcentral.
AGAUUGAACGCUGGCGGCGUGCCUAACACACGCAAGUCGAGCGCUGUAGCAAUACAGAGCGGCAGACGGGUGAGUAACGCGUGGGAACAUACCCCAAGGUUCGGAAUAACUCAGGGAAACUUGAGCUAAUACCGGAUAUCUCCGAGAGGAGAAAGAUUUAUCGCCAUGGGAUUGGCCCGCGUUAGAUUAGCUAGUUGGUGUGGUAAUGGCCCACCAAGGCGAUGAUCUGUA